CAGCCACACCGCCGCAUGCAGAAGGCCUUCAUGUUGUAAGACUCAUUCAGGCGUGAGGGUAGUUAAGUUCUUAAUCCAUGGUUGAUAAGGCCUGUGCAACAGAAGAAACCCCGGGUUAAUUCCUGCCCGCCGCCGCGGUUAUUCGGAGGGGGGUAGGGUUUAUUGGAAAUUAUUGGGGUUAAGGGCACGCAGGCGGUAUUUUUCAGUCGAUGUGAAAGCCCCGGGGUUCACCCCGGAGGGUCCUUUUGAUACGGCUGAUUUGGAUUUUGGAGGGGGGAAUGGGAUUUCCAAUUUUGGAGUGGAAAGUGUUGAAUUUUGGAGGAACCUCCAUGGGGAAGGCAACUCCAUGGCCAAAAUAUGACCGUCAUGGUAGAAAAUGUGGGUAGCCAACCAGAUUAGAUACCCCUGGUAUCCACCACCGAAAACGAUUAUACCAGUUGUCGGGCAUUAUAUUCUUGAGUGGCGCACCUAACGCGAUAAGCGUUCCGCCCUUGGAUUAGC
This 501-nucleotide ribosomal RNA is filed under the name uncultured bacterium. RNAcentral describes it as "bacterial SSU rRNA". It matches the Rfam family "Bacterial small subunit ribosomal RNA", at positions 389 to 884 of the family's 1533-position model. The record is from RNAcentral.